GAAAACUGGAAGUAGCUGGCUGGGUAAAGAUCUGAGGGCACACAGCUGAUGAGAAGAUAAGUAUGAAGACUGCUUCUAUCCUACGUGUGGGAACGCAGGAAAGGGAGGUAUGGCAACAUAAAUAGGCAGAAGAUUAUGCGAAGAUAAGCACUAAAGAGGCAACAGAUGACUUAAUAUUGAAUCUUCAAGAAAUGGCUUCUUUUGAAUCACAAACAUACUGGUGGCUGAAUGUCGUUUCAGCCACCAGUAACUCAAGUCCUUGGUAAAACCAGCUCCUGGCUAAAUUCAUCACAAGCCACAGGUUGUGUUUUAUGGUCUACGGUUGAUUUAUGGGUACAAAAACAAAAAGUCAGUGCAGCGUGGCUCUCGCAGCCCUCUUCUUGUGGCAGCACUUCACAACGCAGAGCAGGCCUCUCCCAGCUGAAGAACAAAAACUUGUCGUUACAGAAGCAGAAACAAAGCAUUAUGCACACCUUGCUGCUUCCAUUACCUCAGAUACAGACGCCCCCCAAAAUAUGUAUUAUUCUCUAGCAGGUUUCCAGGAAUGGGAACAGCUGGAGAAACUGAAUGUUAUGCUUCAUUGAUUGGGAAAAUUUGCUGUACUGCAAUAUUAGUACUCACUGCCUGUUGUGGUCACCAAGCACUGUCAUCAAAGCGGUUUCAAAAGGCUGAGUGCAGCUGGCUUGCAUUUGACAGCUCAACACACGGGAAAAAGAAAUAUUUUGUUGCAUCUGUCCCUCUGGAUUUGGUUCUGUUGCUUUUAUGUGUUGCAAUGUAAGGAAAACUCAGCUCAGAUUCCGUCUGUGGUUUUCACCAAGAAUACUGCUUUUCCCUUCUUCCCGCACAACUUUCCAGCCAGAUUGACUGAACUGCAGAAAGGUCAGAUGACUUACUUGGAGGUCCCUUCAGAUUGUCAUCGAGUUGCCCUCAAUUUGAGCUGAAGAGAGCUCUGGUCCCUAUACUGCAGCCGGAGACACAGAGAUCGGGUUUCCAGAACGCUAGCAAUCCCCAGCUUGCCACAAAGUCAGAUGGAGACGAGUGGCCACGGAGACCACUCAGGAAGAAAAAGGAAAUAAAGAAGAGUGACAGUUUGCAGGGGAAGAGUCAUGUGAAACAUCAGCAGAGCAGCAUCAGCGGUGGCACAGAGGGAAAAGCCCCACUCCAGAAGUGCCCCCAGAUGGUCACGCGCCAAUGUCCGCGACCUCGUGAGCAGCAGCAACUCAGGUUAAGUGUGUGCUUUGCAGAUGGACAAAGCCCAGUCUGUGUACAGGUUUUUUCCUUGUGGCUGUAAAAUUCAGAGGUGGGAGAGAAACCUGGGCUGUAUCAUAGACUGCCGGUGGUCCGCCCCCUCCACCCAGCGCUGCAGACCGUCCAAAACAUUGUCAUUGCACCCCAGAAGGCAAGCAGGCCUGGGAUAGAUCCAGAACGGAUUACAACAUAAUCCAAUUCACAGGGAGGGGUAUUUUUGAAAGAGGAUUAUGUGUUUUGUUUUGUUUUGUUUUGUUUUUUCCCUUCUGGCUGCCUUCCAGAAAAUAAAUAAAUGCUGUAAUUCUCAUGUAAUGUUUUUAGAAGGCAUGGCGAUGGAAAGAGAAGGCUCUUUUCCAUGUCCAUGUUAGAGAGCGGGAGGAAGAAAGCUGAUUUUUUGCAGCAGUGUGCCAAGCAAUCUCAGGAUAUGCGAGUCAGAAAUGCUGGUGUUUCCCACUGCGCAUUCAAGAACAGCAUGAAACUGAAGAAAACGGUGCUGCAUUUCUAAUCAGAACAAUGUAAUACGGGUGUUGGGUCUGCAUCCCAGCAUCAAAAGGCCUCCUCCUGAACCCUUUAUGACCUUCAGAGAGGUUUGCAUAAUUAUCUUGAUUAAAGGCACAGCACAAUUUUAGUACCAAAGCCCACAAAUUACCAAGGCCCGCAUGUUUUGCAAAAUAAUACCGUUCAUGUGAUUAUUUGUUUUGCUCUAAUCAUUUCUGAAAUAUUACUCCAUUGCUUAGAUUUAAAUUGCUGGUUGUAACAGAUAGCCAGUUUGCAAAUAAAAUAUAAGUCCCUACAAAACUG
Molecule: long non-coding RNA, 2049 nt
Organism: Tympanuchus pallidicinctus (lesser prairie-chicken)
Lineage: Eukaryota; Metazoa; Chordata; Aves; Galliformes; Phasianidae
Exons: 9
Source: RefSeq, a predicted model, not a curated record